This is a long non-coding RNA of Notolabrus celidotus (New Zealand spotty), 986 nucleotides long. RefSeq lists it as uncharacterized. The transcript has 5 exons. The record is from RefSeq and is a predicted model, not a curated record. NCBI's taxonomy places the organism in Eukaryota, Metazoa, Chordata, Actinopteri, Labriformes, Labridae.
UCACUUUUUAGACUUAGACUGAUAUGCUUCUUUCACACACACACCUCCCCUCACUGUAGUCAUGUGGUGACGUCUGCACCUGCACCCGGAGACAAUGAUGGUCAGCCAUUUGAAUCCCAGGAGACAAGGGAAACGACUUAUCACAAGAAGAAGAAAAGGAACAGAGGUAAUUAAAGGGACAACAAGACGGGGACAAUCAUGGAUGGACUGGAUAAUGUUACAUUAUCAAUUUUAAAUGCUGCCAGCAUUGAUGAGGCCUUGCUCUACACCUUCAGUCGUGAUGUUCUGAGAGACCCUUUUCCUGGGCCAGAGCACUUUCUCAGGAAGAGUGUGGGCUGUUAUUAGCCCAGAGGAUCAGAACCUCACCGUACCAGACAAAGCUGGCCCUGGUGACACAGGACCUGUGUCUUCACCUGGAGGAAUGUCCCCAAUCUUGCCCCAGGCAUCCACUCCUUUGGUGAGGAAAAGCCCAAAGAAAACCCUACAGCUUCCCAGUCCUCCAGAAUAUGUCGUUUACACAGACAGUGAGUUAGAGCAAGUUCGUAAACACUGCUUUGAGUUGGUCUCCACUGGCAGAGAGGGGGAAUGUAUCAUGUCCAAAGAACUGAGAUGCAGGUUAGUGUGGAACACUGUCACCAGCAUGAUUUCCAUAUUGAGAGCAAGUCAGCAAGGAGAGGAGGUCUGAUACCCUACCAGGCAUGAAGUCACUGCAAUGGCUAGGAGACUAGUGGAGUACUAUCCCAUGCUACAGGAUGAAGACAAAACUCAUAUGACCAUUUUCAAGAAUCUUCUCAAGAGGCUGCAGAAUGUGAAGUCCCCACAAAAGAGGCAGGGGCCAACACCUGAGAGGGGCCAUUCAAAGAAAAGGCAUCGAAUUGACUUCUCAACAAGUGACAAGGAGGGAGAAGAAUACGAUACAGACUCAAGAGCUGGAUCAACAAUUAUUUUGCAUCAAAGAUCUGGGAGCAGUUCUGAUGACGGCCUCA